This 253-nucleotide ribosomal RNA is filed under the name uncultured bacterium. RNAcentral's name for it is "partial 16S ribosomal RNA". It matches the Rfam family "Bacterial small subunit ribosomal RNA", at positions 524 to 776 of the family's 1533-position model. The record is from RNAcentral.
UACGUAUGGUGCAAGCGUUAUCCGGAUUUACUGGGCGUAAAGGGAGCGCAGGCGGCAUGGUAAGCCAGAUGUGAAAGCCUUGGGCUUAACCCGAGGAUUGCAUUUGGAACUAUCAAGCUAGAGUACAGGAGAGGAAAGCGGAAUUCCUAGUGUAGCGGUGAAAUGCGUAGAUAUUAGGAAGAACACCAGUGGCGAAGGCGGCUUUCUGGACUGAAACUGACGCUGAGGCACGAAAGCGUGGGGAGCGAACAGG